AACCUACCUAUAAGACUGAGAUAACUUCGGGAAACCGGAGCUAAUACCGGAUAAUAUAUUGAACCGCAUGGUUCAAUAGUGAAAGACGGUUUUGCUGUCACUUAUAGAUGGAUCCGCGCCGCAUUAGCUAGUUGGUAAGGUAACGGCUUACCAAGGCAACGAUGCGUAGCCGACCUGAGAGGGUGAUCGGCCACACUGGAGCUGAGACACGGUCCAG
RNAcentral lists this ribosomal RNA (217 nucleotides) under uncultured Staphylococcus sp. Its description in RNAcentral is "partial 16S ribosomal RNA". It matches the Rfam family "Bacterial small subunit ribosomal RNA", at positions 123 to 334 of the family's 1533-position model. The record is from RNAcentral. Lineage: Bacteria; Bacillati; Bacillota; Bacilli; Caryophanales; Staphylococcaceae.